GUUCAAGGCAGGGGGCGGGGCGUCUCCGAGCGGCGGGGCCAAGGGAGGGCGCAACAGCUGCUACCUCAACACUUUCUGACCCAACGGUCACCCAGCGCCGGACUCGCUGCGCCCCGGCGGCUCUAGGGACCCCUGGCGCCUACACUUAGCUCCGCGCCCGAGAGAAUGUUGGACCGACGACACAAGACCUCAGACUUGUGUUAUUCUAGCAGCUGAACACACCCCAGGCUCUUCUGACCGGCAGUGGCUCUGGAAGCAGUCUGGUCUAUAGGU
This is a long non-coding RNA of Gorilla gorilla gorilla (western lowland gorilla), 273 nucleotides long. NCBI's taxonomy places the organism in Eukaryota, Metazoa, Chordata, Mammalia, Primates, Hominidae. The record is from Ensembl.